UGUACCUUACGAAUAAGGAUCGGCUAACUCUGUGCCAGCAGCCGCGGUAACACGUAGGAGGCAAACGUUAUCCGGAUUCACUGGGCGUAAAGCGCGUGUAGGUGGUUCUGUAAGUAGGGCGUGAAAGCUCCCGGCUCAACUGGGAGAGGCCGUACUAAACUGCAGAGCUAGAGGAUGGUAGAGGGAGGUGGAAUUCCAGGUGUAGUGGUGAAAUGCGCAGAUAUCUGGAGGAACACCAGUGGCGAAGGCGGCCUCCUGGACCAUUCCUGACACUCAGACGCGAAAGCUAGGGUAGCAAACAGAAUUAGAGACUCCGGUAGUCCUAGCCCUAAACGAUGCAGACUAGGCGUCGGCGGUUUAAUCACCGUCGGUGUCCAAGCUAACGCGAUAAGUCUGCCGCCUGAGGACUACGGCCGCAAGGCUAAAACUCAAAGGAAUAGACGGGUCCCCGCACAAGCAGCGGAGCGUGUGGUUUAAUUCGAUGCUCCGCGAAGAACCUUACCUGGGUUUGACAUAACAGUGGUAGGGAAGUGAAAACGGAUCGACCCUUCGGGGAGCUGUUACAGGUGUUGCAUGCCUGUCGUCAGCUCGUGUCGUGAGAUGUUCGGUUAAGUCCGCUAACGAGCGCAACCCGCGCUGUGUGUUACAAGUGUCACACAGUACCGCCGGUAUUAAGUCGGAGGAAGGUGCGGAUGACGUCAAGUCAGCAUGACCUUUAUAUCCAGGGCUACACACACGCUACAAUGGUCAGAACAAUAGGUUGCCAAGCCGCAAGGCGGAGCCAAUCCUCCAAAUCUGGCCUCAGUUCAGAUUGCAGGCUGCAACUCGCCUGCAUGAAGUCGGAGUUGCUAGUAACCGCAGGUCAGCAUACUGCGGUGAAUAAAAUCCCGGGGAUUGUACACACCGCCCGU
This 911-nucleotide ribosomal RNA is filed under the name uncultured bacterium. RNAcentral describes it as "bacterial SSU rRNA". It matches the Rfam family "Bacterial small subunit ribosomal RNA", at positions 474 to 1397 of the family's 1533-position model. The record is from RNAcentral.